RNAcentral lists this ribosomal RNA (372 nucleotides) under uncultured Glomeromycotina. Its description in RNAcentral is "eukaryotic LSU rRNA". The record is from RNAcentral. Lineage: Eukaryota; Fungi; Glomeromycota.
UUGAAAGGGAAACGAUUGAAGUCAGUCGUACCUGCGGGUAAUCAGCCUUUUGGGCAUGAUUCUGUGGAGCGUGAGGAGUUAAACGCCUUCAUGCCUGCAUAUUCGUGUACUUUGGGUGUACUUGCCUGUGUGGUUAGUUAACAUCAAUUUUGGUUAUCAUAAAAUGGUUGGAGGAAUGUAGCUUCGAUUUCGAUUGAAGUGUUAUAGCCCUCGGCAGAUGUGAUGAUCGGGAUUGAGGAUUGCAACGGAUACCCUUCGGGGCUACCUGUCUGGUCUCUGAUCGUUGCUCUGGUGCCGAAAGCGUGCUUACGGUUAUCAAAGUCGAUGGUCAAUAGGUUAGAACGGGUUAAAUUCGUUAAGGAUGUUGACGUA